CAGCCGCCGCGGGAAUACGGAGGGAGCUAGCGUUGUUCGGAAUUACUGGGCGUAAAGCGCGCGUAGGCGGUUACUCAAGUCAGAGGUGAAAGCCCGGGGCUCAACCCCGGAACUGCCUUUGAAACUAGGUGACUAGAAUCUUGGAGAGGUCAGUGGAAUUCCGAGUGUAGAGGUGAAAUUCGUAGAUAUUCGGAAGAACACCAGUGGCGAAGGCGACUGACUGGCUCAUACUGGACGCUGAGGUGCGAAAGCGUGGGGAGCAAACAGGAUUAGAGACCCCUGUAGUCCCUGUCUCUUAUAC
This 301-nucleotide ribosomal RNA is filed under the name uncultured bacterium. Its description in RNAcentral is "partial 16S ribosomal RNA". It matches the Rfam family "Bacterial small subunit ribosomal RNA", at positions 509 to 807 of the family's 1533-position model. The record is from RNAcentral.